GACGAACGCUGGCGGCGUGCCUAAUACAUGCAAGUAGAACGCUGAAGGAGGAGCUUGCUUCUCUGGAUGAGUUGCGAACGGGUGAGUAACGCGUAGGUAACCUGCCUGGUAGCGGGGGAUAACUAUUGGAAACGAUAGCUAAUACCGCAUAACAGUAGAUAUUGCAUGAUAUCUGCUUGAAAGGUGCAAUUGCAUCACUACCAGAUGGACCUGCGUUGUAUUAGCUAGUUGGUGGGGUAACGGCUCACCAAGGCGACGAUGCAUAGCCGACCUGAGAGGGUGAUCGGCCACACUGGGACUGAGACACGGCCCAGACUCCUACGGGAGGCAGCAGUAGGGAAUCUUCCGCAAUGGGCGAAAGCCUGACGGAGCAACGCCGCGUGAGUGAAGAAGGAUUUCGGUUCGUAAAGCUCUGUUGUUAGGGAAGAAUGAUUGUGUAGUAACUAUACACAGUAGAGACGGUACCUAACCAGAAAGCCACGGCUAACUACGUGCCAGCAGCCGCGGUAAUACGUAGGUGGCAAGCGUUGUCCGGAAUUAUUGGGCGUAAAGCGCGCGCAGGUGGUUUAAUAAGUCUGAUGUGAAAGCCCACGGCUCAACCGUGGAGGGUCAUUGGAAACUGUUAAACUUGAGUGCAGGAGAGAAAAGUGGAAUUCCUAGUGUAGCGGUGAAAUGCGUAGAGAUUAGGAGGAACACCAGUGGCGAAGGCGGCUUUUUGGCCUGUAACUGACACUGAGGCGCGAAAGCGUGGGGAGCAAACAGG
RNAcentral lists this ribosomal RNA (763 nucleotides) under uncultured bacterium. RNAcentral describes it as "bacterial SSU rRNA". It matches the Rfam family "Bacterial small subunit ribosomal RNA", at positions 28 to 776 of the family's 1533-position model. The record is from RNAcentral.